UGGGGAAUUUUGGACAAUGGGGGAAACCCUGAUCCAGCCAUCCCGCGUGUGCGAUGAAGGCCUUCGGGUUGUAAAGCACUUUUGGCAGGAAAGAAACGUCGCGGGUUAAUACCCCGCGGAACUGACGGUACCUGCAGAAUAAGCACCGGCUAACUACGUGCCAGCAGCCGCGGUAAUACGUAGGGUGCAAGCGUUAAUCGGAAUUACUGGGCGUAAAGCGUGCGCAGGCGGUUCGGAAAGAAAGAUGUGAAAUCCCAGAGCUUAACUUUGGAACUGCAUUUUUAACUACCGGGCUAGAGUGUGUCAGAGGGAGGUGGAAUUCCGCGUGUAGCAGUGAAAUGCGUAGAUAUGCGGAGGAACACCGAUGGCGAAGGCAGCCUCCUGGGAUAACACUGACGCUCAUGCACGAAAGCGUGGGGAGCAAACAGGAUUAGAUACCCUGGUAGUCCACGCCCUAAACGAUGUCAACUAGCUGUUGGGGUCUUCGGACCUUGGUAGCGCAGCUAACGCGUGAAGUUGACCGCCUGGGGAGUACGGUCGCAAGAUUAAAACUCAAAUG
Molecule: ribosomal RNA, 559 nt
Filed under: uncultured bacterium
Lineage: Bacteria
Description: partial 16S ribosomal RNA
Rfam family: Bacterial small subunit ribosomal RNA
Source: RNAcentral